Long non-coding RNA from Glycine soja, 280 nucleotides. RefSeq lists it as uncharacterized. The record is from RefSeq and is a predicted model, not a curated record. The transcript is spliced from 2 exons. Lineage: Eukaryota; Viridiplantae; Streptophyta; Magnoliopsida; Fabales; Fabaceae.
UUUUUAACAUUUUUUCAGGUUAUGAAGAUGCUAGAAAGAAAAGUAGUGAUGGAUCCUACCUUGCUGAGAUUAAAAAUUACACGCAUGCUGCAGAGGAUUCGUUGAGGGGGACAAGCAAAAUUUUAUUGGUUUCGUGCUUGAACCCAUCAUUUUGCCAAGACACUAUUUACAUGGUUAGCUUGGCAUCACGGUCAUGUCAUUGGAUUUGUCGGGCAUUCUUAGAUUCCACCAAGAGAAAUGCAAGUUCAGCAAAACAAAUGGUGAAUUCUCAUAAGAACUA